GACGAACGCUGGCGGCGUGCUUAACACAUGCAAGUCGAACGGAAAGGCCCUGCUUUUGUGGGGUGCUCGAGUGGCGAACGGGUGAGUAACACGUGAGUAACCUGCCCUUGACUUUGGGAUAACUUCAGGAAACUGGGGCUAAUACCGGAUAGGAGCUCCUGCUGCAUGGUGGGGGUUGGAAAGUUUCGGCGGUUGGGGAUGGACUCGCGGCUUAUCAGCUUGUUGGUGGGGUAGUGGCUUACCAAGGCUUUGACGAGUAGCCGGCCUGAGAGGGUGACCGGCCACACUGGGACUGAGAUACGGCCCAGACUCCUACGGGAGGCAGCAGUGGGGAAUAUUGCACAAUGGGCGGAAGCCUGAUGCAGCAACGCCGCGUGCGGGAUGACGGCCUUCGGGUUGUAAACCGCUUUCGCCUGUGACGAAGCGUGAGUGACGGUAAUGGGUAAAGAAGCACCGGCUAACUACGUG
Molecule: ribosomal RNA, 468 nt
Filed under: uncultured bacterium
Lineage: Bacteria
Description: partial 16S ribosomal RNA
Rfam family: Bacterial small subunit ribosomal RNA
Source: RNAcentral